This 434-nucleotide ribosomal RNA is filed under the name uncultured Fibrobacter sp. RNAcentral describes it as "partial 16S ribosomal RNA". It matches the Rfam family "Bacterial small subunit ribosomal RNA", at positions 341 to 792 of the family's 1533-position model. The record is from RNAcentral. Lineage: Bacteria; Pseudomonadati; Fibrobacterota; Fibrobacteria; Fibrobacterales; Fibrobacteraceae.
ACGGGAGGCAGCAGUGGGGGAUAUUGCACAAUGGGGGGAACCCUGAUGCAGCGACGCCGCGUGAGUGAAGAAGUAUUUCGGUAUGUAAAGCUCUUUAAGCUGGAAAGAUAAUGACGGUACCAGCAGAAUAAGCCCCGGCUAACUACGUGCCAGCAGCCGCGGUAAUACGAGGGGUGCAAGCGUUGUUCGGAAUCACUGGGCGUAAAGGGAGCGCAGGCGGAGAUGCAAGCAGUCUGUACAAUACCGGGGCCCAACCCCGGACCUGCAGACUGGACUGUUUCUCUUGGAUAGUUCAGGGGCAGGCGGAAUUCCUGGUGUAGCGGUGGAAUGCGUAGAGAUCAGGAAGAACACCGAUGGCGAAGGCAGCCUGCUGGGGACUCAUCGACGCUGAGGCUCGAAAGUGCGGGUAGCAAACAGGAUUAGAUACCCUGGUA